Molecule: unclassified non-coding RNA, 480 nt
Filed under: plant metagenome
Description: partial contains small subunit ribosomal RNA, internal transcribed spacer 1, and 5.8S ribosomal RNA
Source: RNAcentral
UUUCCGUAGGUGAACCUGCGGAAGGAUCAUUAACACGCGUUUUUACUCGCUAAAAACCAAAAACCAAACUUUUCUGUGAAUGUAAAACUUCUUACAGACUUGGGUCAAAUCAUCGCAACCUUUUCCUUUGUCUCAUGAUGGAGACCGUAAUAGGCUUUUUUCUUUUUCUAAGAAAAAGGGAGAGAAAGGAGUUGCUUUUUGAAAUAUACACAUUCUCGCAAUGUGUGGAUUUCAGAUGAUUUGAUGCCGAGAUUUUUUCCUUGAAUCAGCUUCCAUCACCUGAUUCAAGCAGUCCCCAACCCUUUCUUUUAUUAACACGCUUAAACAGCCAAAAACUACAAUUGAACAACUCGGAGACAGUCAAAUGUCCUCUUUGUUGUUACUAAUCAAUUCAGUCUUCAACUUUCUUUUUUUGAAAGGUUUUGAUUGAUAAUAUUUCUAAUCUAAGAACAACUCUUAGCAAUGGAUAUCUUGGUUCUC